CGUCACCUACGGGGGGCAGCAGUGAGGAAUAUUGGUCAAUGGGCGGAAGCCUGAACCAGCCAAGUCGCGUGAGGGAAUAAGGCCCUACGGGUCGUAAACCUCUUUUGCCGGGGAGCAAGGGCGGGGACGUGUCCCGGCCCGGAGAGUACCCGGAGAAAAAGCAUCGGCUAACUCCGUGCCAGCAGCCGCGGUAAUACGGAGGAUGCGAGCGUUAUCCGGAUUUAUUGGGUUUAAAGGGUGCGUAGGCGGGCUGUUAAGUCAGCGGUAAAAAUUCGGGGCUCAACCCCGUCCGGCCGUUGAAACUG
This 305-nucleotide ribosomal RNA is filed under the name uncultured bacterium. RNAcentral describes it as "bacterial SSU rRNA". It matches the Rfam family "Bacterial small subunit ribosomal RNA", at positions 333 to 635 of the family's 1533-position model. The record is from RNAcentral.